GAGAUUUGUCACCACUUGUCGGAUCCGAUCCUUCACCACAUCAGGCCCUCUCGUUUGCUUUGCCAAACCCACACCUUGGUGCUGGUUCUGGUCAACAUCCAAGUUGAUGAUGGCCGGGGGUCGAGCACCAGGCCCCUUCUUUUGGUUCAAGUGUUUCUGUGGGACUUCAGUUGCAAAGAAACUUUGGUGAGAGUGUCCAUUACAGUUCUCCGGUGAAUUAGCCGAGUCCUGAUUGGUAUUGCUUCCCUCUUUUCCUUUGGAGGGUCCAGGCUUUGGUCCACAAUGCCCAUUAGCUACAAGUACUUGUUCCAAACUCGGAUUAUUUUGCUUCAAAUGGUAAUUUCCGGCGAAAUUUGCACAUCUUUCCUCUCUGUUGCCGACAAAUACAUCAUAUUGGACCGUCCUACUAUAGCCACACCCUUGUCCUUUGACCCGUAAAUGAGGGAGUGGGUGUGGAAUCCCGCCAUUGAAGAGGUGUGCCUUGGUGUGGCUGUGCGUCACCACACACUCUCUGAAAGAUGGACAGUGUGUCACGGUAGCUUCUGGCAAAUAAUCCCACCUGGAAGAGUUCAACUCACAUGGACGACAAAGUCGGGGCAGGUCGUUAGACUGGUGCAAGGGGCCAGACCCCAGGAACCGAGGCCAUCUCUGAGGGCUACAGUGACUGCCUCGGUCUUCUCUGGGCGUCCUCCAUCCUUCCUCCUUAACCCGAGGAGACUGGAUGUCUCUUCGGCCUUCCAGAUGUUGGUGGUCAGCCUGUUUGCUCGGCGCCGGUUGGUACCUCAGCCCGCCGGGCUGGUCACAGCGCUGGCAGGGGCACGGGCCACGGAUGAAUCGCCUGCGUGCUGUCGCUUGUCCGCCUUCUGUGUACAUGUCCGAAAAGUGGCUCCCCGCAAAAAAACUUCUCCGUAGCCUCCCCCCUUCUCCCUUUACACAAGACUUCCCCCUCCCCUUCCUUCCUGUCUGUUGUUUCCCUGCCUCUCCUUUCCUCUUCAAAGCCAGUUCUUUUCUCCCCCUUUCUCUCUUCUUUCUCUUAACUUUUCUUCCCCCUGGAGCUCCCGCUCUCUGAAAUCUCUCCUUGUACCUCCCUCCACCUCUCAGGCUUGCUUGUUCUGUCUCAUUUGCUGUCUCUGGCUUUCUGCAUUUCAACCGCCCCCCUCCACUCUUUGCUGUCCUUCUCCUCCUUUUACUCCGUCUUAUUUCCUUACAUAGUCGGCGAUACCUGGAUUUGCCAAGCCCCUCUCUCGUUUCCAUGUGCGAUCCAGGCGUACUCCAGUAACGGACUCCAUCCGUAAGGCUUUCCGAGAGUGUGUGGGGAAAUAGAACCCAAAAACCGGUGCCUAACUCGGUGGCCCAACUGACGGCGCAAUUAAAUGCUGCCUAAGAUUUCUUGGCCAGGAAGGGAGAGAGAGGAGGGUAUUGUAAAGGGGGGUGGGUGGAGAGAAGCAAAAAGUGGGAGGAGGUGGGGUUUCUAGCAACGCCGGCAUGGAAGUGGGCAGCAGUCUGACUCAAGGAGACAUUAACAGUGCUUGAAACAUUCCUCAUCACACAAUCCUGCCUUGCCUACUACAUUUGUCUUUCAAUUUUUGUUUUGUCCUUUGCCAUCUUUUCCAGAGUUUUACGGAGUUUUACAACCUAUGCAGGAUUUAAACAGCUCUCCAUAAAAGAACGCAUGUCAUGAUCCGCUGCUCGGAUCAUGUCAUGUUUUGGUUUCGGUUCUGUUUUGUAUCUCGUUUCGUUAGUAUUUGACUUUUUCUUAGUUCCUGGUGGCACUUCCUGUUUUGUUUGUUGUCGUAGUUAUGUAUAAGUGUCACCUGCCUCUUUUGUUUUUCACACGCACCUCCUCUGUGAUUAUCUCCUUUAUUUAAGCUGCCCUUUUUGUUCAUUCUGUCUCGCAGUCUAGUUUGCUGUCCAAUGCAACAAGUGACGUCGCUAUCCCCAAUUGUGGUAAAGUCUUUUUGUAUUUGUUAGCUUCCACGCUAUUCCGUCGUUUGCUACCUAGCUCACAUGCUAGCACUUUCAGUUCUUUCUAGCUCCCAUGCUAGUUCUGUUGGUUUUGUCUUUUGUGCCUUGUGCAAGUGUUUUUGUUCUUAGUCUGUUUUAUAGUAGAAAUAAAGUAUAAUUACUUACCUUCACGCUAUGUCCAGUCCACCUGCAUUUAUGAGAGAACGCACCCGCAUAGACACAAUGCCAGACAAGCGUCACAACGCAAGCUUUUCCAAGAUCAGUUUUCAAACUUUUCCACAAGGUUAUAACUAGGGUGAAGUCCACACUUACAUACAUGCUCAAUGUGUUGAAUUUUUUUUAUAUCAAAAUAUGUUUUUGUCCCGAUGGCAGCACGGUGGACAAGGGUUAAUGCGUGUGCCUCACAAUACGAAGGUCCUGGGUUCAACCCUGGGCUCGGGAUCUUUCUGUGUGGAGUUUGCAUGUUCUCCCCGUGACUCCGUGGGUUCCUUGCGGGUACUCCGGCUUCCUUCUACCUCCAAAGACCUGCAGCUGGGGAUAGGUUGAUUGGACAAAUCCUGACCAAAGACCAAUCCUUUGAUUCCAUACCGUUCUAAUUUGUUUACUUCCAAAGACAUGCACCUGGGGAUAGGUUGAUUUGGCAACACUAAAUGGUCCUUAGUGAAUGUGAAUGUUGUAUCAUCUGCAAAUAAUUCUAACUUUAAGUCCUUUGUAACUUUACUAAUGUUGUUUGUAUAAAGAAUUAACCAUUUUGGUCCGAGAAUUGAUCCCUGAGGUACAUACGCCACAAGAUAUUUUCAGCUCUGUAGACGUGUUCGCCGAGCUUCACGUAUUGCUUCCUGUUGGUUAAGUAGCUUCGUACCCAGUUCAAGACCAAUCCUUCAAGAUAUUUUCAGCUCUGUAGACGUGUUCGCCGAGCUUCAUGUAUUGCUUCCUGUUGGUUAAGUAGCUUUGUACCCAGUUCAAGACCAAUCCUUUGAUUCCAUACCGUUCUGAUUUGUUUACUUCCAAAGACAUGCACCUGGGGAUAGGUUGAUUGGCAACACCCUGUGUGAAUUUAGCGUGAAUGUUGUAUCAUCUGCAAAUAAUACUAACUUUAAGUCCUUUUUAACUUUACAAAUGUCGUUUGUAUAAAGAUUUUACCAUUUUGGUCCGAGUAUUGAUCCCUGAGGUACGCCACAAGAUAUUUUUAGCUCUGUAGACGUGUUCGCCGAGCUUCAUGUAUUGCUUCCUGUUGGUUAAGUAGCUUCGUACCCAAUUCAAGACCAAUCCUUUGAUUCCAUACCGUUCUAAUUUGUUUACUUCCAAAGACAUGCGCUUGGGGAUAGGUUGAUUGGCAACACUAAAUGUGUGAAUGUUGUAUCAUCUGCAAAUAAUACUAACUUUAAGUCCUUCGUAACUUUACAAAUGUCAUUUGUAUAAAGAUUUAACCAUUUUUGUCCAAGUAUUGAUUCCUGAGGUACGCCACAAUAUAUUUUCAGCUCUGUAGACGUGUUCGCCUAUCUUCACGUAUUGCUUCCUGUUGGUUAAGUAGCUUCUUACACAGUUCAAGACCAAUCCUUUGAUUCCAUACCGUUCUAAUUUGAUUACUUCCAAAGACAUGCACUUGGGGAUAGGUUGAUUGGCAACACUAAAUGGUCCCUAGUGUGUGAAUGUUGUAUGAUCAGCAAAUAAUACUAACUUUAAGUCCUUUGUAACUUUACAAAUGUCGUUUGUAUAAAGAUUUAAACCAUUUUGGUCUGAGUAUUGAUCCCUGAGGUACCCCAUUAACAUAUUUUCAGCUCUGUAGAUGUGUUCGCCUAGCUUCAAGUAUUGCUUCCUGUUGGUUAAGUAGCUUCGUACCCAGUUCAAGACUAAUCCCUUGAUUCCAUACUGUUCUGAUUUGUUUACUUCCAAAGACAUGCAACUGGGGAUAGGUUGAUUGGCAACACUAAAUGGUCCCGGCAAUCCUGUUUGGUUCAUUAUUUUUUUGCCAUACGGAAGAAGUUUGCAAUGCCUUCGAGCCCAGACCCUUGUGUGGAGCUCAGCAAACUACAAGGAUCUGGCGAGAGUCAGGUUAGUCCUGACCAAGGUAUGCUCUGAACUACAUCCGGUGAUGAUGUGUCUGUGUUACCACUUAGUCAUUAUUGCUCCCAGGUCUACUCUGGCCUGUGUUGUAGCACCUGAUACCAUGCUCGGGGUAAUGAGAAGACUUGAGUUGCGACACAAUGUCAUUUUUAUCUGUUGUCAUUCAGCGCAGGGCAGGCAUCUUUACGCUGAGGAACAUUUUAGUGAUAUUUCUAAAAACGUGUUGCACCUGUUAAGGCCCUUUUCAUGGUAUAUCAAAAACUAUCAUUCAAAAUGUAAGAAACUUCAAAACCUAAAACUAGUGUGGACUACAGUACGGUAUACCAGUAGUAGUAUAGAACCGCGAUACCGAUUACUCAUAUUCGGUACUAUAAUGCCUCUGAAAAGUACUGGUCCGACACCAUCAUCCACGCAUUUUGGCUUGAAAACUACCUAAAUAAGUUAUAACACUGAAACGCCCUCAGGAAGAGGUGCUUUAAGACAUGGCUAGCUCGCUAGCGGCUAAAGUCCAGCCCCAGUCUGCAGUGUUUUAGCCACUUCUAAAUCACUAAUCCUGGUCUCCAUGGCGACAAAUAAAGUAUGUUUCUUACAAGUACAUUAUCACUGGAGGACGAGGAAUAGCUAAACAUGCUUCACUACACACCGUAGCUCACCUGCGUCAAAAUGUAAACAAACGUCAUUGGUGGAUCUACACCUGACAUCCGCUGUAAUGAUACCAAGUACAGGUGCGUAUCUGGUUGAUACUAUUAAAAUUUAAUCAAUAUUUUUUGGCAUCACAAGAUCGUCUUUCGCUUUUUAAAUGUAUAUUAUGUUUAUAAACUAAGGAAAUAUGUCCCUGGACACAUGAGGAUAUGACCGAUGUAUCAUCCUGUAACUACUGUGACGUCUCAGUGGCAUUGUGGUGACGAGUUGUUCUCUCGUGGGUGCAGCGGAAGAUGGAACACAGCGUGAGGGUAGGGAUAAGAAUUUGUUUAUAUAAUAAAACAAACUAAGAACAAAAACACUUGCACAAAGGCACUAACCAAAAAUCAACAGAACUAGCUUGGGAGCUAGAAAGAACAAAGGGCGCUCGCGUGGAAGCUAGGGACAUAAACAAACAAAAUAGCAUAGAAGCUAACAAGUAUACAAAAAUAGAUUUACCACAAUGUUGGAAGAGCGGGGUCAGCUGUUGCGUGUAGCAAGCAAGAGUCCAAGACUGAAUGUCAAACAGAGGCGGGCAUAUAUAGGGAAAUAAAUAAUCAAGGCCAGGUGCGCGUGAUCAAAGCAGAGACAGGUGACACUAAAUGGGUAACUAUGACAACGGAAACAAAACCAGGAAGUGCCACAAAGAACUAAGGAAGACAAAUACUAGACAGAAUGUGAUAAACAGAACCAAAACCAGAAUAUGUCAUGAUCCAAGACGUGGAUCAUGACAACUACUUGGUAUCAGAUUGAUACCCAAAUCUGUGGUAUCGUCUAAAUAAUGUAAAGUAUCAAAGAAAAGAAGAAUAGGUGAUAAUUACAUUUUAACAGAAGUGUAGAUAGAACAUGUUGAAAGAGAAAGUAAGCAGAUAUUAACAGUAAAUGAACAAGUAGAUCAAUAAUUCAUUUUCUACCACUUAGAUUUACCCCUAACACCCACUGUAAUGAUACCAAGUACAGUAGCGUAUCUAGUUGAUACUACUACGAUUACGUCUAUUUUUUGGCAUCACAACAUCGUUCGUUUAAAAAAUAUAUAUAUUAUGUUUAUAAACUCAAGAAAUAUGUCCCUGGACACAUGAGGACUUUGAAUAUGACCAAUGUAUGAUCCUGUAGCGACUUGGUAUCGGAUAGAUACCCAAAUCUGCGGUAUUGUCUAAAAUAAUGUAAAGUAUCAAAGAAGAGAAGAAUAAGUGAUUAUUACAUUUUAACAGAAGUGUAGAUAGAACAUGUUAAAAGAGAAAGUAGGCAGAUAUUAACAGUAAAUGAACAAGUAGAUUAAUAAUUUAUUUUCUACCACUUGGAUCUACACCUGAACUCCACUGUAAUGAUACUAAGUUAAGUAGUGUAUCUUGCCGAUACUACUACGAUUACGCCUAUUUUUUGGCAUCACAACAUCUUCCUUCGUUUUAAAAAAAAUGAUAUCAUGAUUAUAGACUCAGAAAAUAUGUCCCUGAACACAUGAGUACUUUGAAUAUGACCAAUGUAUGAUCCUGUAACGACUUGGUAUCGGAUUGAUACCCAAAUUUGUGCUAUCAUCCAAAACUAAUGUAAAGUAUCAAACAAGAGAAAAACAAGUGAUUACCGGUAUAUAGUAUGCGCCUGCCUAGAAUUACUGCCGGGUCAAACUAGUUUUGCAAAAUAAUUAGCGCAUGCUUAGCAUUACCGCCGGCUCAGGAUUAACGCCGAGUCAAACUCCUUUCGCAAAAUAUUAUUUUUAUUAGCGCAUGUCUAGAAUUUUUGCCGGGUCAAACUCAUUUCGCAAACUAAUCAGCAUAUGCCUAAAAUUUCCGCCGGGUCAAACUCGUCAUGUCACGAGUGACACUUCACCUCUCAUCAUUUUCAAAAUGGAGGAGGCUGAUUUCAAUCAUUUGAAAUUGCAUAAAGGGAAGAAGAUUAAGAGCUAUUCAGUAGGAUUUAAGGUCCAAGCUAUUGAAUAUGCUAAAAAGUACAAUAAGCAGCUAUGUUUUAUUAAUAUACCGUAGCUGCGUGUGUCAAAUCGAGUCAUUAAAUGACUUCCGCCACUUGGUGGUAGAGGGCGCUAGUGAUCCUUCUUGCGACUACUCGGCUGCAGAAGAAGUGACAACAAGCAGCAAGAGUGAGCAGCGAUCGUUUAUUUUUUCCUCUCGCUUGCACUUUUAACAUGGAGGAUUACAUAUCUAAAAUAAAACAGUUUUCUAAACUGGACUUUCAAUCGAAGCAGGGGGUAAUAAAAGAAGAUCUCCAUCGAGACAGAGAGUCUUUUAAAACUGAAGAAAGAUAAGGAAGACUUCUAUAAUCAAGUUAUCGAUGCUUUUGAUCAGAAGGAGCUGUGCAUGGACUUUAUUUAUAAGUAAAGGUAAGACCAUAAUAAAGUUUUUUUAAUUAAAUGUGCUUUUCAUGAUGGUAUCCUUACAUCACACUCAAAUUUAUGAGCGCAGGCCUAAAUUUACCGCAUGCCUUUGGUAAGUUUUUAAAAUAAUUAGAGCACCGGCGGCAAUUCAAGGAAAUACGGUAUUACAUUUUAACAGAAGUGUAGAUAGAACAUUUUAUAAGAGAAAAUAAGCAGAUAUUAACAGUACAUGAACAAGUAGAUUGAUAAUUCAUUUUCUAUCAGUUGUCCUUUUAUAAUGUAAACAAAAUAAGAGGUGUAUAAAUGACACAAUAUAUUACUGCAUAUGUCAGAAGACUAAUUAGGAGCCUUUGUUUGUUUACUUACUACUAAAAGACAAGUUGUCUUGUAUGUUCACUAUUUUAUUUAAGGACAAACUUGCAAUAAGAAACAUAUUUUAAACAUACCGUAAGAUUUUUUUUGUGAAAAUAAAGCUAAUAAUGCAUUUUUUUCUGGUCCCCUUUAUUUAGAAAAGUACCGAAAAGUAUCGAAAUAACUUUAGUACCAUUACUGGUACCAAAAUAUUGGUUUUGGGACAACACGAGUAAGGACACAAGCUUCAUCAUGAUUAGCAAGCACUUCUAGAAACCUGACCUAAUUCCAAGUUGUCUGUUAGUGUCUGCAUGCUUCCAUUCCACUCACUUAUUGAAUGAAAGACAAAAAGCUUUGAAGAACAACAUGACCACCAAACGUUUGAGUGACCACGCCCAGAGUUGGCCUCUGUCCUCUCGCCAAGCGCAGCGGAGCGUCUAUUUUGAAAGACAAUAACAGGAACUUUGGAAACAAUGGCUUCUCUCUGCUAUAUGUAGGGAAUAUGCAGCAGGGAGCAAAAACUGGGCUUGGUUUUAUCCCAGCAGGAGGACGAGUAGUCUGCUCACAUCUGCUGUUUGAUUCUGGAAAGCGGAGCUUUACCUGGACUUCACCAGGAGUCAUUAUUUUCAGCCCAUGUAACAGUAUCGAUCUUUAUGCUGUAAUCGUCACUGAAGGAGAGUAACACUCCCACGCUGCCUCCUUCUUUCAGUGCAUCUUGGCUGCUAUCAGUCUUGAAGAAGAGACAUCAAAACUGGCAUGCUGCACAUUUGCCAGAAUUACGGGACCAAGCUGGUUCUAUUUUGUGAAAGAUUUCCUUAGAAUGGCAGCGGAGGGACUGAGUUUGCACCAUUUCAUCAGAUAUAAUGCAAAUGCUGUAUUGAAAGUGGUUAAAAGAAUCAAACAGGUAUCAAAAUGCAAACAUAUUUAUUUACAAGCCCCGUUUCCAUAUGAGUUGGGAAAUUGUGUUAGAGGCAAAUAAGAACAGAAUACAAUGAUUUGCAAAUCAUUUUCAACCCAUAUUCAUUUGAAUGCACUACAAACUCGUAAACUUUAUUUAAUUUUCUGCAAAUAAUAAUCAACUUAGAAUUUCAUGGCUGCAACACGUGCCAAAGUAGUUGGGAAAGGGCAUGUUCACCACUGUGUUACAUCACCUUUUCUUUUAACAACACUCCAUAAACGUUUGGGAACUGAGGAAACUAAUUGUUGAAGCUUUGAAAGUGGAAUUCUUUCCCAUUCUUGUUUUAUGUAGAGCUUCAGUCGUUCAACAGUCCGGGGUCUCCGCUGUCGUAUUUUACGCUUCAUAAUGCACCACACAUUUUUAAUGGGAGACAGGUCUGGACUGCAGGCGGGCCAGGAAAGUACCCGCACUCUUUUUUUUUUUACGAAGCCACACUGUUGUAACACGUGCUGAAUGUGGCUUGGCAUUGUCUUGCUGAAAUAAGCAGGGGCGUCCAUGAAAAAGACGGCACUCAGAUGGCAGCAUAUGUUGUUCCAAAACCUGUAUGUACCUUUCAGCAUUAAUGGUGCCUUCACGAAUGUGUAACUUACCCAUACCUUGGGCACUAAUGCACCCCCAUACCAUCACAGAUGCUGGCUUUUGAACUUUGCGUCGAUAACAGUCUGGAUGGUUCGCUUCCCCUUUGGUACAAUGUCGAAUAUUUCGAAAAACAAUUUGAAAUGUGGACUCGUCAGACCACAGAACACUUUUCCACUUUGCAUCAGUCCAUCUUAAAUGAUCUCGGGCCCAGAGAAGCCGGCGGCGUUUCUGGAUGUUGUUGAUAAAUGGCUUUCGUUUUGCAUAGUAGAGCUUUAACUUGCACUUACAGAUGUAGCGAUGAACUGUAUUUAGUGACAGUGUUUUUUUUAAGUGUUCCUGAGCCCAUGUGGUGAUAUCCUUAAGAGAUUGAUGUCAGUUUUUGAUACAGUGCCGUCUGAGGGAUCGAAGGUCACGGUCAUUCAAUGUUGGUUUCCGGCCAUGCCGCUUACGUGGAGUGAUUUCUCCAGAUUCUCUGAACCUUUUGAUGAUAUUAUGGAGCGUAGAUGUUGAAAUCCCUAAAUUUCUUGCAAUUGCACUUUGAGAAACGUUGUUCUUAAACUUUUUGACUAUUUGCUCACGCAGUUGUGGACAAAGGGGUGUACCUCGCCCCAUCCUUUCUUGUGAAAGAUUGAGCAUUUUUUGGGAAGCUGUUUUUAUACCCGAUCAUGGCACCCACCUGUUCCCAAUUAGCCUGCACACCUGUGGGAUGUUCCAAAUAAGUGUUUGAUGAGCAUUCCUCAACUUUAUCAGCAUUUAUUGCCACCUUUCCCAACUUCUUUGUCACGAGUUGCUGGCAUCAAAUUCUAAAGUUAAUGAUUAUUUGCAAAAAAAAAAAAAAGUAUAUCAGUUUGAAGAUCAAAUAUGUUUUUUUUGUAGCAGUGCAAAAUCAGUGCAAUACAUUUUCAUAUUAUGGUCACUACUGCCCUGUUUCUCUUGUUAUAUUCUUAUUUUUACGGUGUUAUUUUUAUUGUUAUUUCAAUAUGUUCUAUUUUAUUUCCAUUUAUUCCCCCAUUAUUACAUUUUUUUUUUUUUUUAAUUCAAUCUCAAUUAUGUACACACUGCUGCUGGAACUUUUUAUCUUUCCUGAGGGAACUCUCCUGAAGGAAUCAAUAAAGUUGUGGAGGUAUCAGUAUUCUUCUUCCUCCAAACACGACCAGUUGAGUUUAUACCAAAAUGGAUACAUGGAUGAUACAGCAGAGGAUUGGGAGAAUGUCAUGUGGUCAGAUGAAACCAAAAUAGAACUUUUUGGUAUAAACUCAACUCGUCGUGUUUGGAGGAAGAAGCAUACUGAGUUGCAUCCCAAGAACACCAUACCUACUGUGAAGCAUGGGGGUGGAAACAUCAUGCUUUGGGGCUGUUUUUCUGCUAAGGGGACAGGACGAUUGAUCCGUGUUAAGGAAAGAAUGAACGGGGCCAUGUAUCGUGAGAUUUUGAGCCAAAACCUCCUUCCAUCAGUGAGAGCUUUGAAUGGUUGACCAAAUACUUAUUUUCCACCAUAAUUUACAAAUACAUUCUUCAAAAUUCCUACAAUGUUAAUUCCUGGAUUUUUUUAAGUCUCACCUUAAAUCUCAUCUGUAUACUCUAGCCUUUAAAUAGACCUCCUUUUUAGACCAGUUGAUCUGCCGCUUCUUUUCUUUCUCCUAUGUCCCCCCCUCCCUUGUGGAGGGGGUCCGGUCCGAUAACCAUGGAUGAAGUACUGGCUGUCCAGAGUCGAGACCCAGGAUGGACCGCUCGUCGGGACCCAGGAUGGACCGCUCGCCUGUAUCGGUUGGGGACAUCUCUACGCUGCUGAUCCGCUUCAGAUGGUUUCCUGUGGACGGGACUCUCGCUGCUGUCUUGGAGCCACUAUGGAUUGAACUUUCACAGUAUCAUGUUAGACCCGCUCGACAUCCAUUGCUUUCGGUCCCCUAGAGGGGGGGGGUUGCCCACAUCUGAGGUCCUCUCCAAGGUUUCUCAUAGUCAGCAUUGUCACUGGCGUCCCACUGGGUGUGAAUUCUCCCUGCCCACUGGGUGUGAGUUUUCCUUGCCCUUUUGUGGGUUCUUCCGAGGAUGUUGUAGUCGUAAUGAUUUGUGCAGUCCUUUGAGACAUUUGUGAUUUGGGGCUAUAUAAAUAAACAUUGAUUGAUUGAUUGAUUUUUCACAUUCUGUCUCUCACAGUUGAAGUGUACCUAUGAUGAAAAUGACAGACCUCUGUCAUCAUUUUAAGUGGGAGAACUUGCACAAUCGGUGGCUGACUAAAUACUUUUUUGGCCCUACUCUACAUGCACGCUGAAUAAUAGUGGGCAUAAAGAAGCCCGGGGGUACUGCAGCCAAUCUGUCCUGAUGUACCGAGCCACAAGGACCAAAGUGCACAGGAGUCAGCUGCUAAAAAAGCCUUAAAUCCAGGAAAGCACUAAUGGAUGGGAUAAUGACUGGGAAGGAGGAGGGGGAGCUGUCGUCAAGAAAACUCCGGCGAAAAUGACAGGCUUUGUCCCAUUGGCAACUAGGAUGCACUUGCUAAGAAGACUGGAGGACAAUGCAUUAACGGAGGAAGAAAAAACACUUAUUUACUGAGCUUAACUUCUGACUGCUGGUGAUGUUGCCGCUGUAAAAUGCAUUCAGUAACCCGCCCUAGGAUUCCAAAAAUAAAAAAUAAAAAAUGCUACAUGGCUCUUCUUGCAGGUGCCAAGCAAGUAACAGAG
This is a long non-coding RNA of Nerophis ophidion (straightnose pipefish), 11611 nucleotides long. RefSeq lists it as uncharacterized. The record is from RefSeq and is a predicted model, not a curated record. The transcript has 2 exons. Lineage: Eukaryota; Metazoa; Chordata; Actinopteri; Syngnathiformes; Syngnathidae.